Molecule: transfer RNA, 73 nt
Filed under: Treponema sp.
Lineage: Bacteria; Pseudomonadati; Spirochaetota; Spirochaetia; Treponematales; Treponemataceae
Description: tRNA-Arg
Rfam family: tRNA
About the family: Transfer RNA (tRNA) molecules are approximately 80 nucleotides in length. Their secondary structure includes four short double-helical elements and three loops (D, anti-codon, and T loops).
Source: RNAcentral
GGCCGAGUAGCUCAGUGGAUAGAGCAAUAGCCUUCUAAGCUAUUGGUCGCAGGUUCGAUUCCUGCUUCGGUCA